CAUUGCUAUUGGGGUCCGAUUUAGCCAUGCUAGUUGUACGAGCUUAGACUCGUUGCGGAAAGCUCAGUAACACGUGGACAAACUACCCUACGGAGAGCCAUAACCUCGGGAAACUGAGGCUAAUAGUUCAUAGGAGAGUCGCGCUGGAAAUGCCGACUCUCCCAAACGCUCCGGCGCCGUAGGAUGUGUCUGCGGCCGAUUAGGUAGACGGUGGGGUAACGGCCCACCGUGCCGAUAAUCGGUACGGGUUGUGAGAGCAAGAGCCCGGAGACGGAAUCUGAGACAAGAUUCCGGGCCCUACGGGGCGCAGCAGGCGCGAAACCUUUACACUGCACGCAAGUGCGAUAAGGGGACCCCAAGUGCGAGGGCAUAUAGUCCUCGCUUUUCACGACUGUAAGGCGGUCGUGGAAUAAGAGCUGGGCAAGACCGGUGCCAGCCGCCGCGGUAAUACCGGCAGCUCAAGUGAUGACCGAUAUUAUUGGGCCUAAAGCGUCCGUAGCCGGCCACGAAGGUUCAUCGGGAAACCGCCAGCUCAACUGGGCGGGGGGGCCGGUGAAAACCACGUGGCUUGGGACCGGAAGGCUCCGAGGGGUACGUUCGGGGGGUAGGAGUGAAAUCCUGUAAUCCUGGACGGACCACCGAUGGCGAAAGCACCUCGAAGAGAACGAUCCCGACGGGGAGGGACGAAAGCUAGGGUUGCUCGCUAGGUGUGGCACCAGCUUACGAGCCCUGUGGCUGUCCCGUAGGGAAGCCCGAGAAGCCGAACCGCCUGGGAAAGUACGUCCGCAAGGGGAGAAACUUAAAAGAAAUUUGCGGGGGAGCACUACAACCGGGAAGAAAGCUGCGGUUAAAUUGGACUCAACGCCCGACCAUCUCACCAAGCUCCGACUACAGUGAUGACGAUCAGGUUGAUGACCUAUCACGACGCCGUAGAGAGGAGGUGCAUGGCCGCCGUCAGCUCGUACCGUGAGGCGUCCUGUUAAGUCAGGCAACGAGCGAGACCCGCACUUCUAAUUGCCAGCAGCAGUUUCGACUGGCUGGGUACAUUAGAAGGACUGCCGCUGCUAAAGCGGAGGAAGGAACGGGCAACGGUAGGUCAGUAUGCCCCGAAUGAGCUGGGCUACACGCGGGCUACAAUGGUCGAGACAAUGGGUUGCUAUCUCGAAAGAGAACGCUAAUCUCCUAAACUCGAUCGUAGUUCGGAUUGAGGGCUGAAACUCGCCCUCAUGAAGCUGGAUUCGGUAGUAAUCGCAUUUCAAUAGAGUGCGGUGAAUACGUCCCUGCUCCUUGCACACACCGCCCGUCAAAGCACCCGAGUGAGGUCCGGAUGAGGCCACCACACGGUGGUCGAAUCUGGGCUUCGCAAGGGGGCGUAACUCGUAGCAAGGUAGC
RNAcentral lists this ribosomal RNA (1392 nucleotides) under Haloferax sp. M6. Its description in RNAcentral is "bacterial SSU rRNA". It matches the Rfam family "Archaeal small subunit ribosomal RNA". The record is from RNAcentral. Lineage: Archaea; Methanobacteriati; Methanobacteriota; Halobacteria; Halobacteriales; Haloferacaceae.